This 465-nucleotide ribosomal RNA is filed under the name uncultured bacterium. RNAcentral describes it as "partial 16S ribosomal RNA". It matches the Rfam family "Bacterial small subunit ribosomal RNA", at positions 28 to 507 of the family's 1533-position model. The record is from RNAcentral.
GACGAACGCUGGCGGCGUGCUUAACACAUGCAAGUCGAACGGAAAGGCCCUGCUUGCAGGGUACUCGAGUGGCGAACGGGUGAGUAACACGUGGGUGAUCUGCCCUGCACUUCGGGAUAAGCCUGGGAAACUGGGUCUAAUACCGGAUAGGAGCCAUUUUUAGUGUGAUGGUUGGAAAGUUUUUUCGGUGUAGGAUGAGCUCGCGGCCUAUCAGCUUGUUGGUGGGGUAAUGGCCUACCAAGGCGGCGACGGGUAGCCGGCCUGGGAGGGUGGACGGCCACAUUGGGACUGAGGGACGGCCCAGACUCCGACGGGAGGCAGCAGGGGGGAAGAUUGCACAAUGGGCGCAAGCCUGAUGCAGCGACGCCGCGGGGGGGAUGACGGCCUUCGGGUUGUAAACUCCUUUCGCUAGGGACGAAGCUUUUUGUGACGGUACCUAGAUAAGAAGCACCGGCUAACUACGUG